CAGGUGGGACCAGUGGUAUGGAAAAGCCAGAAGAAGCAGUGAGAAUAUGAGCCAGCAGUUGGGUGAAGGGGAGAGAUUCUACACCAAAACAACCCCGAAACAAAAAAUGGAAUUUCAUUCAUCCCCUUGAGAUACUGCAUAGCUAGUGUUGUGAGUAUUUUUCAAAGUGCUUCUGUGGAAUUCUGUUUUACCCUUGGAAUUUACUGUAGU
This 210-nucleotide long non-coding RNA is filed under the name Chinchilla lanigera (long-tailed chinchilla). RNAcentral describes it as "lncRNA (ENSCLAG00000028296.1)". The record is from RNAcentral. Lineage: Eukaryota; Metazoa; Chordata; Mammalia; Rodentia; Chinchillidae.